This 253-nucleotide ribosomal RNA is filed under the name uncultured bacterium. Its description in RNAcentral is "partial 16S ribosomal RNA". It matches the Rfam family "Bacterial small subunit ribosomal RNA", at positions 524 to 776 of the family's 1533-position model. The record is from RNAcentral.
UACAGAGGGGGCAAGCGUUGUUCGGAAUUACUGGGCGUAAAGGGCGCGUAGGCGGCCUUCUAAGUCGAACGUGAAAUCCCUGGGCUCAACCCAGGAACUGCGUCCGAUACUGGAAGGCUUGAAUCCGGGAGAGGGAUGCGGAAUUCCAGGUGUAGCGGUGAAAUGCGUAGAUAUCUGGAGGAACACCGGUGGCGAAGGCGGCAUCCUGGACCGGUAUUGACGCUGAGGCGCGAAAGCAUGGGGAGCGAACAGG